RNAcentral lists this transfer RNA (87 nucleotides) under Schleiferiaceae bacterium. RNAcentral's name for it is "tRNA-Ser". It matches the Rfam family "tRNA". Rfam says of the family: Transfer RNA (tRNA) molecules are approximately 80 nucleotides in length. The record is from RNAcentral. Lineage: Bacteria; Pseudomonadati; Bacteroidota; Flavobacteriia; Flavobacteriales; Schleiferiaceae.
AGAGAGGUGCCUGAGUGGUUUAAAGGGCCCGCCUGGAAAGCUGGUAUAGAGGUAACUCUAUCGGGGGUUCGAAUCCCUUCCUCUCUG